Molecule: long non-coding RNA, 4277 nt
Filed under: Pelobates cultripes (western spadefoot toad)
Lineage: Eukaryota; Metazoa; Chordata; Amphibia; Anura; Pelobatidae
Rfam family: mir-34 microRNA precursor family (bases 2607-2684)
Source: RNAcentral
UAUAACCUUAUAUAUUAUAAAGUUACAGUCCUCUGUAUUUCUCCCUUAUAGGUUAGUGCUCGUCCAGAAUGACCGCAACUGGACAAUUGUUGUUUAUCAGUAUCACUUAGUUUCCAAUUACUGCGUUACGUCUCGGAGGUGGUGAAGGUUAAUUCUCUUGGGAUUUGCAGAAUGUUUUGUACAGGGAAGAAGAAGGGUCUGAAGCAUCUCUCUGAGGUAGGUGUCAUUUUAUACACGCCUAUGACAUAAUAAAGGAAAUUUUGACUCCCCGACAAUAUAGUACACAGUUUAGUGAGUAACCAUGUAUUCUAUAAAAUACUCUCAUGUGAUGAAGCCGUACAUUAACUGUAUGUAAAGCUCUGCAGUGUUUAGGGUGUGUUGUUUAUACCUUUCUCAGCCCAUCAAUUUAUAGCCUGAUAGGCUGGAAUACAUUUUUGUGACUCUAUAUUUGGUGUGUGGCAUACUUGUUCUUUGAAAAGCAUCAUUAGUGUACACUAACAUGCAAUAAAGGGAGGGUUGUGUCUAGAACAUUAUUAGAAACAUAAUUGUAAAUAACAUGCGCGCCAAACCCACUUAUUAUAAAACGCCCUUGAUUUCAAAGCUUCUGCCUCCUUGUUAAUUUUUCUAGUUGUCACAAGGAGGAGUGAUCAUGGACCAAAUAAACUCCAAUUUCUCCAAUUAGUAAGAACUGGCAAUGCAGAAUCUGUAGUUAAAUUGAACUGUCACUUCUCAGGAAUUUUAAUAUUAUGUUUACUUCCAUAUUUAACAAAUAUGUAUUUGUACGGUGUUUUUAUAAGUUAUAUGUGAUUUUCAAUCUUUUCUUCCAUGGUUUAAAUGGACACUAUAGUCACCUGAACAACUUUAGCUUAAUUUCCAGACAAUUAAUUGUUCCUCGUUAAGUUAUACCUGUUGAUCAAAACAAGGAUCCAGGGCUCUCAUUAAAGGAACACUAUGGCAUUCAGAAUACAAAUCUGUAUUCUUAACGUUCUAGUCCCUAAUUCGAAAUUGCACCCCCGUUGUGCAAUUAAAAUGAAUGAAUAAAGGUGAAACUUACCUUUUUAUUCUGGUGCUGCUGCCUGCUCUGCUUACUGCGACAUCAUUGUGGAGGUGUUGCAUACUCAGCAUUUAUCCAAUGCGAGUGCUGUGCAUCCAGUGAAAUUCUUCUCAUAGGAAAGCAUUGAAUUCAAUACUUUCAUAUGAGCUACAUUUGAUGAUGCCUGACAUCUUCAUGGAGGUUGACUGUCACAUGACCAGGCUUUACUGCACAAGAAGUGCCUCCUAGUGGCUGCCAGUAGGUAUGUUUCACCCUACAAUGGAAACAUUAAUUGCAGGGUUAAAACUACAUUGCCACUGCAGACAGACCACUUCAUUGAGAUACAAUGGUCUGGGAUCACUUAGUGUUGCUUUAAGUUAGGACUGUGGCACAUUGAAAAGAAAAUUCCAGGAUAAUUUUUUUUUUUAAAUAGUUUUGCUUAAAUGUUAAUAUUACCUUGUUUUUCACAGUUCAGGUUUAGUGCAUGAAUCCUGAUACAUAAUACUUGUAUAAUUUCCUGUGGAAGUGGCCAUGAAUUACCUGGUAUGAGCUAAGAUUUCACAGGGAGCAUAUGUGAAUUAUAUCCCAGAAUAGUGUUUAUGCAAACAUGGGGGCUUAUAUCUGCCACGUGUAACGUACGCUAUUAAAUUGGGCAGAUUUGAUUAAUGUAGUUGAAUUUAAAGAUUUAGAAAAUAUAUAACUCUGUACGUAACUAUGGAAAGUAACUCUGUAUCUUGGUUUUUACCGUUCCAGGUAAAAUUAAAUAUAGAAAUACACACGUGUUUAUUCUGCAACUGGGCACCUCCAUCUUAACUCUCUGUCAGCCAUUGUUAUGAGCUCUGUCCUUUUAACAAUGUUUCUCUAUCACCUCUUCAUUUGCGAUGUUCACCUUUACUUUGCAUUGUCUGAACUGGAGAAUGACAUAAUUUGCAAAAAAUUUUAAUAUGAAUUUAAUACAAAAUAAAGCAUCACAUUAAAAAGGUGAACACAAGUUAUGUCUAAUUUUCAAUGUUUUAUUCUAAGGUGUAAUUUUAAAGACGUGACCGUUUACCUGUAGCUGACAAAAGCUGUAUCAUAGACAGUAACACAAAUGGCGCCAUCACUCCAUAAAAGGAUCUGUAGCGCAAAUCGCCCAAUGAGAGUGUCUGAGACUUAUCUUCCAAUGUAGACAGCUCUUCUCCGAAGAAGACCUUCAGUUAACCGUAAAAGCUUGAACAUAUGGUUACUAAAGAUAUUUAUGGUUAUUUGUGCUUUUUAGUAGUAUAUUUUAUCUUUGAAUUGCCAAUUCCACCACUUGUUCUAAUUAUCUCAUACUUUAUAUUGCAUCAAAGAACCGCAGUGAUUUAGAAGAGAUACAUUUUAUGCAUUCCUCAUUGUUUUUGAUUUUCCUUAGGAAAUAUGACUGGACGGUGAUCUCUCAUUAACGGUCUUGCCUUGCAACCCACAAGUAAAUAUGAAUCACAUCCUGGUUGCCAGAUGGGGAUGGAAGGUACUCUGUAUUUAUUCCCUUUCAGAAGCAGCUUGUUGGAUGAGGAGAAACGAAAAAAGGAAAAUGUACGUGCUGUCUGUGAGUGUUUCUUUGGCAGUGUCUUAGCUGGUUGUUGUGACGCAUCAUAGAAGUAGCAAUCAGCAAAUAUACUGCCCUAGAAGUUCUGCACAUUGUUAGGCUCAGAAAAUGCUCUAGAAUGUGGACUUCAGAAGAGAAGACCUGUCCAGGAAGAAUAAAACGCUAACGGAACGAAUUGGAGCUCCGCUACUGUAACUAUACCUGCAUUUUAUAUAAACAAAGCAAUUGGUGAUAUUUAUGAUUAAUAAUACUAAAGAGUAUGUCUUGACAUGUUCGAAAACUAUGUGUUAUAUUUCCUGUAACUUUAAAUACAAAGAUUGGGAUUACAUUUAGAAGUUAAACAUUUGGUAUUUACAAGGCAAUUGUCACCUAACAGAUAAUGUAUAUUAUGAGCUGAUUUGAGUAAAUUUGGGUUAAUAUUAAUUCUAAAUAUGACAUAUAUAUAAAAUGAUUUCUACCUUCCCCCACCAUCAUUUUUCGAUCUUUUUAUUGAGUUUUUAAAAGAGUACUGUUGAGACCCAGAGGAGUGUGCCUGCUACCUGCACAGACCCACACGAGACUAUACGAGUGACGUCUCACACUCUGUGUGUUAUAAGAGUGCAUGCACUGGAUCUGUAGUAAACUCUUUGGUUUGUUUAAAAAUGAAAGCCUACUUACUUCAAUAAGCACAUAAGUACACUGCUGAAUUUACUGCUCUAUUAAUGGAUUAAUUUUUUUUUCUUUAAAUAAAUUAUAGGUGUAGUUUGAUUGACAACCUAAUUUAAUGAAUAGUUGCACUGCCUGCUGCAUAUGUCGUUGAAAAUUUCUCCCAUAGAAAAAAAUGAAUGGACUCCCUUCUGCACUCUAAUAUUCUAGUUUUGUCUUUGUUUUAUCCUUUUUGUUAUUGAUUUGGUUGCUGUUAUUGCUGAUGGUUCAUUCCUGCCUGGAAUAGUUACUUUAAAAGGUUGACAUGUGCACUUGGAUACCAAUGGCGGACAUCAUGGCACGCGCGCAAUCUUUGUAACAGAUGAGGGAAAUGAUACUUUGUAUCUCACUGGAAAAAGGUCAACGUAUGGAUUUGCCAAAGGUGGACAUUUCAUUGCUAUGGUUACUCCCAUCCUAAAGCCACUUUAAAAAGUUUGCCCACGAAAGCCCGUACUGUCGUUCUAGCUCCUUUCAAAUGACGUGCCAUUACAGCACUGGAAAUAUGGGUUGUAAUUCAUGCAAAGGUAAAAUCACCUCAUAAUGCCCCAGCUUCCCUAAGGCUAGCCAAAUGAUUUCAAAUGUUGUCAGUGUGAGCAGUGCUGUAACGUCACUGUGCUGUUAAUGCAACACCAUUCCAGCAUUGUUCAAACCAUGCUUUGCAUUCAAAUGAAUAAUUAAUAUCCUAAAAUGCAGAAUUCAUGAUACUGUGUGGUACAAUGUGCCUUUUUAAAAAAAAGUUUUGUCUAUUAUAUUUAAACAGGCAAAACACAAGGUAACGUUUUUUUUUGUUUUGUUGUUGUUUUUUUUAUUUUUAUUUUUUUAUUUAUAUGACAGGAUAGUACGGAAGCCCAGAGAGGCCAUGUUAAAUACAAAUAUGAUAUAGAUACAAAGGAGCAGAGACCUGUUUACACUUUUAUGAUGUCUCAAACUGCUUAUAUCCUAAUGCUGUCACUGAAAUGUAUGUAUUAAUUAAAAAUAAAACCAUGAUUUUAU